GGUGGCUCAUUGGUAGAGCGCUUGCCUUGCAUGCAUAAGGCCCUGGGUUCGAUUCCUCAGCACCA
RNAcentral lists this transfer RNA (65 nucleotides) under Dipodomys ordii (Ord's kangaroo rat). It matches the Rfam family "tRNA". Rfam says of the family: Transfer RNA (tRNA) molecules are approximately 80 nucleotides in length. Their secondary structure includes four short double-helical elements and three loops (D, anti-codon, and T loops). Lineage: Eukaryota; Metazoa; Chordata; Mammalia; Rodentia; Heteromyidae. The record is from Rfam by way of RNAcentral.